RNAcentral lists this unclassified non-coding RNA (391 nucleotides) under soil metagenome. RNAcentral's name for it is "partial contains 5.8S ribosomal RNA, internal transcribed spacer 2, and large subunit ribosomal RNA". The stretch from base 1 to 122 matches the Rfam family "5.8S ribosomal RNA", at positions 35 to 154 of the family's 154-position model. The record is from RNAcentral.
GAUGAAGAACGUAGCGAAAUGCGAUACUUGGUGUGAAUUGCAGAAUCCCGUGAACCAUCGAGUCUUUGAACGCAAGUUGCGCCCGAAGCCAUUAGGCCGAGGGCACGCCUGCCUGGGCGUCACACGUCGUUGCCCCCCCAUCUACUCCUUCGGGAUUGCGGGGGGCGGAUGAUGGCCUCCCGUGCGCCUCGUCGCGCGGUUGGCAUAAAUGCCAAGUCCUCGGCGACACACGCCACGACAAUCGGUGGUUGCGAAACCUCGGUUGCCCGUCGUGUGCGGUCGUCGCGCAUCGAGGGCUCGAAAAAAUUGCCGGGCUCCGGCUCGGCUUUCAACGCGACCCCAGGUCAGGCGGGGUUACCCGCUGAAUUUAAGCAUAUCAAUAAGCGCAGGA